This 434-nucleotide ribosomal RNA is filed under the name uncultured bacterium. Its description in RNAcentral is "partial 16S ribosomal RNA". It matches the Rfam family "Bacterial small subunit ribosomal RNA", at positions 29 to 507 of the family's 1533-position model. The record is from RNAcentral.
AGCGAACGCUGGCGGCAGGCCUAACACAUGCAAGUCGAACGAACCUUUCGGGGUUAGUGGCGGACGGGUGAGUAACACGUGGGAACGUGCCUUUAGGUUCGGAAUAACUCAGGGAAACUUGUGCUAAUACCGAAUGUGCCCUUCGGGGGAAAGAUUUAUCGCCUUUAGAGCGGCCCGCGUCUGAUUAGCUAGUUGGUUGAGGUAAUGGCUCACCAAGGCGACGAUCAGUAGCUGGUCUGAGAGGAUGAUCAGCCACAUUGGGACUGAGACACGGCCCAAACUCCUCCGGGAGGCAGCAGGGGGGAAUCUUGGGAAAGGGGCGAAAGCCUGACGCAGCCAUGCCGGGUGAAUGAGGAAGGUCUUAGGGUUGUAAAAUUCUUUCACCGGGGAGGAUAAUGACGGUACCGGGAGAAGAAGCCCCGGCUAACUCCGUG